Molecule: unclassified non-coding RNA, 170 nt
Filed under: uncultured Ascomycota
Lineage: Eukaryota; Fungi; Ascomycota
Description: sequence contains ITS2
Source: RNAcentral
UCAACCUCUCAAGCUUGGCUUGUCGUUGGACCUUGCAGAUGCCGGUAGUCGGCGAUGGCAGGUCUUUAACCUAAUGGCGGAGUUCGGUGAGGACCCCGGAUACAACGAGCUUUUUCUAGCAUGUAUCAAGGUGGCUCACCGACCUUGCCUCGUCGAAAAGUCCUAACCAU